UAGGGAAUCUUCCACAAUGGGCGGCAAGCCUGAUGGAGCAACACCGCGUGAGUGAAGAAGGGUUCGGCUCGUAAAGCUCUGUUGUUAAAGAAGAACACGUAUGAGAGUAACUGUUCAUACGUUGACGGUAUUUAACCAGAAAGUCACGGACUAACUACGUGCCAC
Molecule: ribosomal RNA, 165 nt
Filed under: uncultured bacterium
Lineage: Bacteria
Description: partial 16S rRNA
Rfam family: Bacterial small subunit ribosomal RNA
Source: RNAcentral